RNAcentral lists this ribosomal RNA (440 nucleotides) under uncultured bacterium. RNAcentral's name for it is "partial 16S ribosomal RNA". It matches the Rfam family "Bacterial small subunit ribosomal RNA", at positions 338 to 795 of the family's 1533-position model. The record is from RNAcentral.
CCUACGGGCGGCAGCAGUGGGGAAUAUUGCACAAUGGGGGAAACUCUGAUGCAGCGACGCCGCGUGAGUGAAGAAGUAUUUCGGUAUGUAAAGCUCUAUCAGCAGGGAAGAAAAUGACGGUACCUGAUUAAGAAGCCCCGGCUAACUACGUGCCAGCAGCCGCGGUAAUACGUAGGGGGCAAGCGUUAUCCGGAUUUACUGGGUGUAAAGGGAGCGUAGACGGCAGGACAAGUCUGGAGUGAAAUGCCGGGGCUUAACCCCGGAACUGCUUUGGAAACUGUGCAGCUAGAGUACAGGAGAGGUAGGUGGAAUUCCUGGUGUAGCGGUGAAAUGCGUAGAUAUUAGGAAGAACACCAGUGGCGAAGGCAGCUUACUGAACUGUAACUGACGUUGAGGCUCGAAAGCGUGGGGAGCAAACAGGAUUAGAUACCCGUGUAGUC